Molecule: non-coding RNA, 149 nt
Organism: Paramuricea clavata
Lineage: Eukaryota; Metazoa; Cnidaria; Anthozoa; Malacalcyonacea; Plexauridae
Source: the annotation of a GenBank genome assembly
AACUUGUAACGAUGGAUCUCUUGUCUCGUGCAUCGAUGACGAAUACAGCUGGCUGCAAUACAACAGCGAUCAAAAUCUAAAUUUUCCAGAGCUAAAUCCUUUGCAGACAACUUAAAUAAAGAACCGGGGCAUUGCAAGGAGUAGAGUAG